This 440-nucleotide ribosomal RNA is filed under the name uncultured bacterium. RNAcentral's name for it is "bacterial SSU rRNA". It matches the Rfam family "Bacterial small subunit ribosomal RNA", at positions 338 to 790 of the family's 1533-position model. The record is from RNAcentral.
CCUACGGGUGGCAGCAGUGGGGAAUAUUGCACAAUGGGCGCAAGCCUGAUGCAGCGACGCCGCGUGAGGGAUGACGGCCUUCGGGUUGUAAACCUCUUUCAGCAUCGAAGAAGCGAAAGUGACGGUAGGUGCAGAAGAAGCGCCGGCUAACUACGUGCCAGCAGCCGCGGUAAUACGUAGGGCGCGAGCGUUGUCCGGAAUUAUUGGGCGUAAAGAGCUUGUAGGCGGUUUGUCGCGUCUGCUGUGAAAGCCCGGGGCUUAACCCCGGGUUUGCAGUGGGUACGGGCUAACUAGAGUGCAGUAGGGGAGACUGGAAUUCCUGGUGUAGCGGUGGAAUGCGCAGAUAUCAGGAGGAACACCGAUGGCGAAGGCAGGUCUCUGGGCUGUAACUGACGCUGAGAAGCGAAAGCAUGGGGAGCAAACAGGAUUAGAUACCCUAG